CCCUUUUCAGGGUCGCACCUGGAGAGUUUCCAGGACUCUACCAGUCACGACUAGAGGAGGGAGAGUCAAGCUGAGAUCUAUCCAUUCCAUUCCUAGCUUCGUCAGUGGCUAGGGAGAGGAAGGCAAUCUGCUACAAGU
This is a small nucleolar RNA of Ornithorhynchus anatinus (platypus), 138 nucleotides long. The record is from RefSeq and is a predicted model, not a curated record. Lineage: Eukaryota; Metazoa; Chordata; Mammalia; Monotremata; Ornithorhynchidae.